Molecule: transfer RNA, 336 nt
Filed under: Streptococcus uberis
Lineage: Bacteria; Bacillati; Bacillota; Bacilli; Lactobacillales; Streptococcaceae
Description: 16S-23S ribosomal RNA intergenic spacer
Rfam family: tRNA (bases 72-144)
Source: RNAcentral
AAGGAUAAGGAACACGUUGGUUAAGUCUUAUUUAGUUUUGAGAGGUCUUGCAAGACGCAGAGACAAACUGUGGGGCCUUAGCUCAGCUGGGAGAGCGCCUGCUUUGCACGCAGGAGGUCAGCGGUUCGAUCCCGCUAGGCUCCAUAGGAUACAGUUCAACUGACCUUAAUAGAAGUGAAGUUUCAUUGUAUCUUAGUAUAGUCCAUUGAAAAUUGAAUAUCUAUAUCAAAUUCCACGAUCAUGAAAAUGAUUGUAGAAAAGUAACAAGAAAUAAACCGAAAAAAAGAUAAACGCGAACAUAUUAAAAAAAAUCAAGAAGGUCUAAGGACUGGAAAU